RNAcentral lists this ribosomal RNA (460 nucleotides) under uncultured bacterium. RNAcentral's name for it is "partial 16S ribosomal RNA". It matches the Rfam family "Bacterial small subunit ribosomal RNA", at positions 338 to 795 of the family's 1533-position model. The record is from RNAcentral.
CCUACGGGGAGCAGCAGUGAGGAAUAUUGGUCAAUGGACGAGAGUCUGAACCAGCCAAGUAGCGUGAAGGAUGACUGCCCUAUGGGUUGUAAACUUCUUUUAUAUGGGAAUAAAAUGUUCCACGUGUGGGAUUUUGUAUGUACCAUAUGAAUAAGGAUCGGCUAACUCCGUGCCAGCAGCCGCGGUAAUACGGAGGAUCCGAGCGUUAUCCGGAUUUAUUGGGUUUAAAGGGAGCGUAGGUGGAUUGUUAAGUCAGUUGUGAAAGUUUGCGGCUCAACCGUAAAAUUGCAGUUGAAACUGGCAGUCUUGAGUACAGUAGAGGUGGGCGGAAGUCGUGGUGUAGCGGUGAAAUGCUUAGAUAUCACGAAGAACUCCGAUUGCGAAGGCAGUUCACUGGACUGCAACUGACACUGAGGCUCGAAAGUGUGGGUAUCAAACAGGAUUAGAUACCCGGGUAGUC